Molecule: ribosomal RNA, 306 nt
Filed under: marine bacterium SIMO-4434
Lineage: Bacteria
Description: bacterial SSU rRNA
Rfam family: Bacterial small subunit ribosomal RNA
Source: RNAcentral
GAAUAUUGGACAAUGGGGGCAACCCUGAUCCAGCCAUGCCGCGUGUGUGAAGAAGGCCAUCGGGUUGUAAAGCACUUUCAGCGAGGAAGAACGCCUAGCGGUUAAUACCCGCUAGGAAAGACAUCACUCGCAGAAGAAGCACCGGCUAACUCCGUGCCAGCAGCCGCGGUAAUACGGAGGGUGCAAGCGUUAAUCGGAAUUACUGGGCGUAAAGCGCGCGUAGGUGGCUUGAUAAGCCGGUUGUGAAAGCCCCGGGCUCAACCUGGGAACGGCAUCCGGAACUGUCAGGCUAGAGUGCAGGAGAGG